This 468-nucleotide ribosomal RNA is filed under the name uncultured bacterium. RNAcentral's name for it is "partial 16S ribosomal RNA". It matches the Rfam family "Bacterial small subunit ribosomal RNA", at positions 28 to 507 of the family's 1533-position model. The record is from RNAcentral.
GACGAACGCUGGCGGCGUGCUUAACACAUGCAAGUCGAACGGAAAGGCCCAGAUUUUGUGGUGUGCUCGAGUGUCGAACGGGUGAGUAACAAGUGAGUAACCUGCCCUUGACUUUGGGAUAACUUCAGGAAACUGGGGCCAAUACCGGAUAGGAGCUCCUGCUGCAUGGUGUGGGUUGGCAAGUUUCGGCGGUUGGGGAUGGACUGGCGGCUUAUCAGCUUGUUGGUGGGGUAGUGGCUUACCAAGGCUCUGACGGGUAGCCGGCCUGAGAGGGUGACCGGCCACAUUGGGACUGAGAUACGGCCCAGACUCCUACGGGAGGCAGCAGUGGGGAAUAUUGCACAACGGGCGGAAGCCUGAUGCGGCAACGCCGCGUGCGGGAUAACGGCCUUCGGGCUGUAAACCGCUUUCGCCUGUGACGAAGCGUGAGUGACGGUAAUAGGUAAAGAAGCACCGGCUAACUACGUG